This is a non-coding RNA of Solea solea (common sole), 73 nucleotides long. Lineage: Eukaryota; Metazoa; Chordata; Actinopteri; Pleuronectiformes; Soleidae. The record is from the annotation of a RefSeq genome assembly.
GCCUGGGUAGCUUAGCCGAUAGAGCAUCAGACUUUUGAUCUGAGGGUCCAGGGUUCAACUCCCUGUCCAGAUG